UACAGAGGUCUCAAGCGUUGUUCGGAUUCAUUGGGCGUAAAGGGUGCGUAGGCGGCGCGGUAAGUCGGGUGUGAAAUCUCGGAGCUUAACUCCGAAACUGCAUUCGAUACUGCCGUGCUUGAGGACUGGAGAGGAGACUGGAAUUUACGGUGUAGCGGUGAAAUGCGUAGAUAUUGGGAGGAACACCAGUGGCGAAGGCGGCUCACUGGACUGGUACUGACGCUGAUGCGCGAAAGCGUGGGGAGCAAACAGG
This 253-nucleotide ribosomal RNA is filed under the name uncultured bacterium. Its description in RNAcentral is "partial 16S ribosomal RNA". It matches the Rfam family "Bacterial small subunit ribosomal RNA", at positions 524 to 776 of the family's 1533-position model. The record is from RNAcentral.